RNAcentral lists this ribosomal RNA (440 nucleotides) under Gemella morbillorum. RNAcentral's name for it is "bacterial SSU rRNA". It matches the Rfam family "Bacterial small subunit ribosomal RNA", at positions 28 to 454 of the family's 1533-position model. Lineage: Bacteria; Bacillati; Bacillota; Bacilli; Caryophanales; Gemellaceae. The record is from RNAcentral.
GACGAACGCUGGCGGCGUGCCUAAUACAUGCAAGUCGAGCGAAGUUUUUCUGGUGCUUGCACUAGAAAAACUCAGCGGCGAACGGGUGAGUAACACGUAAAGAACCUGCCUCAUAGACUGGGACAACUAUUGGAAACGAUAGCUAAUACCGGAUAACAGUAUUUCUCGCAUGAGAGAUAUUUAAAAGUUGGUUAUGCUAACACUAUGAGAUGCCUUUGCGGUGCAUUAGCUAGUUGGUGGGGUAAAGGCCCACCAAGGCGACGAUGCAUAGCCGACCUGAGAGGGUGAUCGGCCUACACUGGGACUGAGACACGGCCCAGACUCCUACGGGAGGCAGCAGUAGGGAAUCUUCCGCAAUGGGCGAAAGCCUGACGGAGCAACGCCGCGUGAGUGAAGAAGGAUUUCGGUUCGUAAAGCUCUGUUGUUAGGGAAGAAUGGAC